UCACUGUCACACUAUCAUGACUUACUGGGACACUUGAAUAGAACAGAGCCAUUAUUAAUGUUAUUAAUAACAUUAAUAAUGUCCUCUGCUUUACCUACAACAAGUCAAAAUGUCUGUCGUGAAAAAGGCCUUGCAUGAAGUCCAGUGACAUCACAUAAUUUCCAUCAUAGCUCCACCCAUCUUCACCCUAAUGCUGCGUUCCAGACAAUGUCGAGGUCGGAAUUUCCCAGUUGAAAUUUCUGACUUCCGGAAUCAAAGCGUUCCAGGUGCACGACGUCAAACGUAAACAAAAAACAAGGCUGACCGUGAAAAAAAAGGUUGUUUCUUUGUAGGACGUUGGAAAUUUUCGAGUUCCGAGUUGUCUGGAACGCAGCAUAAGCAGAGGUCUAAUCAGCCAGAAUGAUUGAAAACACCUGUGUGAGCGUUCAUAGAUGUAAGACGGACAGGGAACCUUGGUAACCAGCCCAGGGGAGCCAUGGGGCCAACAAAUAAGACCGUCCCAGUCUGGAGGGCACACCUCAUCUACACCAUGGAGAGGAAGAGUGAGAGGAAGUCAACAUACACAUACUGUCAUCUGCUAUCUGAUGCUGUUCAACCAUUCAAUAUACACCUCUGAUGGAGUCUACUGGCCCCUUAAUUGUUCUGUGUUGACUCAGUUCUAUGAUGUGAUUUGAGUGUUUUGUUUGUUGUUUCACACAGGUAGUAUUCACUAUCUAACUGUUGUACUAGACUGUGUUACAGGAGUAUCUAUUUUUAUAUUCACUCAAUACAGGUAGAUCUCUAAAUGUUGUGAAGACAGCUGUUGUUGAAUGUUGUUAAAGUCAUGUUUU
This is a long non-coding RNA of Siniperca chuatsi (mandarin fish), 830 nucleotides long. RefSeq lists it as uncharacterized. The transcript has 4 exons. NCBI's taxonomy places the organism in Eukaryota, Metazoa, Chordata, Actinopteri, Centrarchiformes, Sinipercidae. The record is from RefSeq and is a predicted model, not a curated record.